AGUGAACGCUGGCGGUAGGCCUAACACAUGCAAGUCGAACGGCAGCACAGUAAGAGCUUGCUCUUACGGGUGGCGAGUGGCGGACGGGUGAGGAAUACAUCGGAAUCUACUUUUUCGUGGGGGAUAACGUAGGGAAACUUACGCUAAUACCGCAUACGACCUACGGGUGAAAGCAGGGGAUCUUCGGACCUUUCGCGAUUGAAUGAGCCGAUGCCGGAUUAGCUAGUUGGCGGGGUAAAGGCCCACCAAGGCGACGAUCCGUAGCUGGUCUGAGAGGAUGAUCAGCCACACUGGAACUGAGACACGGUCCAGACUCCUACGGGAGGCAGCAGUGGGGAAUAUUGGACAAUGGGCGCAAGCCUGAUCCAGCCAUACCGCGUGAGUGAAGAAGGCCUUCGGGUUGUAAAGCCCUUUUGUUGGGAAAGAAAAGCAGCAGGUUAAUACCCCGCUGUUCUGACGGUACCCAAAGAAUAAGCACCGGCUAACUUCGUG
Molecule: ribosomal RNA, 492 nt
Filed under: uncultured bacterium
Lineage: Bacteria
Description: partial 16S ribosomal RNA
Rfam family: Bacterial small subunit ribosomal RNA
Source: RNAcentral